CCUACGGGAGGCAGCAGUGGGGAAUAUUGCACAAUGGGGGAAACCCUGAUGCAGCAACGCCGCGUGAGUGAAGACGUAUUUCGGUAUGUAAAGCUCUAUCAGCAGUGAAGAAGACAGACGGUACCUGACUAAGAAGCCCCGGCUAACUACGUGCCAGCAGCCGCGGUAAUACGUAGGGGGCAAGCGUUAUCCGGAUUUACUGGGUGUAAAGGGAGCGUAGGCGGCGGUGCAAGUCUGCAGUGAAAGCCAAGGGCUCAACCCUGGGACUGCUUUGGAAACUGGGGAGCUAGAGUGAUGGAGAGGUAAGUGGAAUUCCGAGUGUAGCGGUGAAAUGCGUAGAUAUUAGGAGGAACACCAGUGGCGAAGGCGGCUUACUGGACAGUAACUGACGUUGAGGCUCGAAAGCGUGGGGAGCAAACAGGAUUAGAUACCCGUGUAGUC
RNAcentral lists this ribosomal RNA (441 nucleotides) under uncultured bacterium. Its description in RNAcentral is "partial 16S ribosomal RNA". It matches the Rfam family "Bacterial small subunit ribosomal RNA", at positions 338 to 795 of the family's 1533-position model. The record is from RNAcentral.